RNAcentral lists this ribosomal RNA (447 nucleotides) under uncultured bacterium. RNAcentral's name for it is "partial 16S ribosomal RNA". It matches the Rfam family "Bacterial small subunit ribosomal RNA", at positions 29 to 523 of the family's 1533-position model. The record is from RNAcentral.
AACGAACGCUGGCGGCAGGCUUAACACAUGCAAGUCGAGCGCCCCGCAAGGGGAGCGGCAGACGGGUGAGUAACGCGUGGGAAUCUACCCAUCCCUACGGAAUAGCUCCGGGAAACUGGAAUUAAUACCGUAUACGCCCUACGGGGGAAAGAUUUAUCGGGGAUGGAUGAGCCCGCGUUGGAUUAGCUAGUUGGUGGGGUAAAGGCCUACCAAGGCGACGAUCCAUAGCUGGUCUGAGAGGAUGAUCAGCCACAUUGGGACUGAGACACGGCCCAAACUCCUACGGGAGGCAGCAGUGGGGAAUAUUGGACAAUGGGGGCAACCCUGAUCCAGCCAUGCCGCGUGAGUGAUGAAGGCCUUAGGGUUGUAAAGCUCUUUCACCGGGGAAGAUAAUGACGGUACCCGGAGAAGAAGCCCCGGCUAACUUCGUGCCAGCCGCCGCCGUAA